This 662-nucleotide long non-coding RNA is filed under the name Helianthus annuus (common sunflower). RNAcentral's name for it is "sRNA HanXRQr2_Chr13g0578291". Lineage: Eukaryota; Viridiplantae; Streptophyta; Magnoliopsida; Asterales; Asteraceae. The record is from RNAcentral.
UCGAACAUAUGAUUUAUGGUAAUUUAUCUUCCUUAGGCAAUAUGAUCUGAUCAUCAAACAUUCCAAUCGCAUUGAUUCCUUCUGUUUAGGGUUUGAAUUCUUCAAAUGGUAUCUAAAUCAACAUCAUCAGUUCCUUCUAUGAACUUCGUCCAUUCCAUAUUUAGGGUGGUGUAGGCCUGCUUGGAAUGUUUGAUAUCGCAAAGGAUGUGAUAGGUGCGUACGAUGCUAUGACAAGGCGACUAAGAGGGUUAAAACCAGCAGCAACUGUGAGAUAUCAUCGAUGUUCCCAUUAUAUACAUCACUAAUAAUAGAAGAAAAAUAAGAAAGUCCGGCGGUUGUAGUAGUAGCACUAGCAACAACAUGAAAGUUAGCAGUACCACCAAUCAAAUCAAACAACUGAUAAUAAUAAUGUAGAAGUCAAUUUAAUUCUUAGUGGUCCUUUGAAAACAAGGGCAAAGAUUGUUUGUACGGUUCAAGAGAAGGUGGUUUAAAGAAUAAUGCCAGCUGGGACAUAUGUGUAAAGUACUCACUGUCACUUAUUUGUUUUUGGAUUACACAUUUUCAACUGAUUUACACAUGUGUAAACCUUCAUAUAUCUAUGGUUGUUUUUAAAAUUAUGAUUUACACAUGUGUAAACCUUCGUAUAUAUAUGCUUAUUUUGU